GUGCUACUUCCACAGCACAUAUACUAAAAUUGGAACAGUACAGAGAUUAGCAUGGCCCCUGUGUGAGGAUGACAUGCAAAUUCGUGAAGCAUUUCAUAUAAGA
RNAcentral lists this small nuclear RNA (103 nucleotides) under Castor canadensis (American beaver). Lineage: Eukaryota; Metazoa; Chordata; Mammalia; Rodentia; Castoridae. The record is from RNAcentral.